ACUCCUACGGGAGGCAGCAGUGGGAAUAUUGCACGAAUGGGGAACCUGAUGCAGCCAUGCCGCGUGUGUGAAGAAGGCCUUCGGGUUGUAAAGCACUUUCAGUAGGGAGGAAGGUAGUGUAGUUAACACCUGCAUUAUUUGACGUUACCUACAGAAGAAGCACCGGCUAACUCCGUGCCAGCAGCCGCGGUAAUACGGAGGGUGCGAGCGUUAAUCGGAAUUACUGGGCGUAAAGCGCAUGCAGGCGGCCUGUUAAGUCAGAUGUGAAAGCCCGGGGCUUAACCUCGGAAUUGCAUUUGAAACUGGCAGGCUAGAGUCUUGUAGAGGGGGGU
This 332-nucleotide ribosomal RNA is filed under the name uncultured bacterium. RNAcentral describes it as "bacterial SSU rRNA". It matches the Rfam family "Bacterial small subunit ribosomal RNA", at positions 335 to 662 of the family's 1533-position model. The record is from RNAcentral.